RNAcentral lists this ribosomal RNA (497 nucleotides) under uncultured bacterium. RNAcentral's name for it is "partial 16S ribosomal RNA". It matches the Rfam family "Bacterial small subunit ribosomal RNA", at positions 28 to 507 of the family's 1533-position model. The record is from RNAcentral.
GAUGAACGCUGGCGGCGUGCCUAAUACAUGCAAGUCGAGCGAACAGACGAGGAGCUUGCUCCUCUGACGUUAGCGGCGGACGGGUGAGUAACACGUGGAUAACCUACCUAUAAGACUGGGAUAACUUCGGGAAACCGGAGCUAAUACCGGAUAAUAUAUUGAACCGCAUGGUUCAAUAGUGAAAGACGGUUUUGCUGUCACUUAUAGAUGGAUCUCCGCCGCAUUAGCUAGUUGGUAAGGUAACGGCUUACCAAGGCAACGAUGCGUAGCCGACCUGAGAGGGUGAUAGGCCGCACGGGAACGGAGCCGCGGUCCAGGCUCCUACGGGAGGCCGCAGUCUCGAACGGUCCGCAAUGGGCGAAAGUUUUGCGGAGCAACCCCGAGCGAGUGAUGACGGCCCUCCGUUCGUAAUAAUGUCUUUCUAGGGAAGAACCACUGUGGAAGGAACCAUGCCGGUCGUGACGGUACCUAAUCAGAAAGCCCCGGCUAACUACGUG